RNAcentral lists this ribosomal RNA (253 nucleotides) under uncultured bacterium. RNAcentral's name for it is "partial 16S ribosomal RNA". It matches the Rfam family "Bacterial small subunit ribosomal RNA", at positions 524 to 776 of the family's 1533-position model. The record is from RNAcentral.
UACAGAGGGUGCGAGCGUUAAUCGGAAUUACUGGGCGUAAAGGGCGCGUAGGCGGUUAUAUAAGUUAGAUGUGAAAUCCCCGGGCUUAACCUGGGAACGGCAUUUAAUACUGUAUGGCUAGAGUAGAAUAGAGGGAAGUGGAAUUUCCGGUGUAGCGGUGAAAUGCGUAGAUAUCGGAAAGAACACCAGUGGCGAAGGCGGCUUCCUGGAUUCAUACUGACGCUGAGGCGCGAAAGCAUGGGGAGCAAACAGG